Molecule: ribosomal RNA, 497 nt
Filed under: uncultured bacterium
Lineage: Bacteria
Description: partial 16S ribosomal RNA
Rfam family: Bacterial small subunit ribosomal RNA
Source: RNAcentral
GAUGAACGCUGGCGGCGGGCCUAAUACAUGCAAGUCGAGCGAACGGACGAGAAGCGUGCUUCUCUGAUGUUAGCGGCGGACGGGUGAGUAACACGUGGGUAACCUACCUAUAAGACUGGGAUAACAACGGGAAACCGGAGCUAAUACCGGAGAAUAUUUUGAACCGCAGGGUUCAAAAGUGAAAGACGUCCUUGCUGUCUCUAAUAGAUGGAUCCGCGUUGCAUUAGCUAGUGGGUAAGGUAACGGCUUACCAAGGCAACGAUGCAUAGCCGACCUGAGAGGGUGAUCAGCCACACUGGAACUGAGACACGGUCCAGACUCCUACGGGAGGCAGCAGUAGGGAAUAUUCCGCAAUGGGCGAAAGCCUGACGGAGCAACGCCGCGUGAGUGAAGAAGGUCUUCGGAUCGUAAAGCUCUGUUAUUAGGGAAGAAAAUCUGUGUAAGUAACCGUGCCCGUCUUGACGGUACCUAAUCAGAAAGCAACGGCUAACUACGUG